This 450-nucleotide ribosomal RNA is filed under the name uncultured organism. Its description in RNAcentral is "partial 16S ribosomal RNA". It matches the Rfam family "Bacterial small subunit ribosomal RNA", at positions 331 to 797 of the family's 1533-position model. The record is from RNAcentral.
GUACACUCCUGCGGGAGGCAGCAGUGGGGAAUAUUGGACAAUGGGCGCAAGCCUGAUCCAGCCAUGCCGCGUGAGUGAUGAAGGCCCUAGGGUUGUAAAGCUCUUUCACCGGUGAAGAUAAUGACGGUAACCGGAGAAGAAGCCCCGGCUAACUUCGUGCCAGCAGCCGCGGUAAUACGAAGGGGGCUAGCGUUGUUCGGAUUUACUGGGCGUAAAGCGCACGUAGGCGGACUAUUAAGUCAGGGGUGAAAUCCCGGGGCUCAACCCCGGAACUGCCUUUGAUACUGGUAGUCUUGAGUUCGAGAGAGGUGAGUGGAAUUCCGAGUGUAGAGGUGAAAUUCGUAGAUAUUCGGAGGAACACCAGUGGCGAAGGCGGCUCACUGGCUCGAUACUGACGCUGAGGUGCGAAAGCGUGGGGAGCAAACAGGAUUAGAAACCCGUGUAGUCCCA